GUAUGUAAUAAUAUGUGUUUUAAUGAACUACAAGGAGUACAGUGCAGUGUUUAUUGUUACAGGAUGCGGUCAUGUGCCGAGUCAAGUGAGGAUGAUGAACCAACCAAACUGAGCAUCGAAAAGGGGGAAUAUACAAGCAGUAAUGACACAGAACCCAGCUCGUAUCCUAAAGAUGAGGCCGAACUUCUCAAGUUGAGGAAGAACAUAGCCAUGGAGCUGCUGUGGGUGCAACAAGCGAUAAACAGCAGAAAAAACUACCUAACUCUGAAGGCAGGGAUGGACUGAAGUCUUACCAAAGCCAUUUCAUCGUUUGUUGUAUGGAACCCAUGCUACAAAAAACAUGAAAAGUCAAGAAUUCCACGGAAAUAAAUGUUUUGCUUCCCAUAAACUAUUUCAGUGUUUCCGACAGUUGCAUCUGUUAAACUACUUCAGUGUUUCCGACAGUUGCAUCUGUUAAACUACUUCAGUGUUUCCGACAGUUGUAUCUGUUAAACUUUUAAAAAAUUCAAACUGUAAAGUGAAGUUCCAUUGACCUAGGACUUAAGUGAACUGGAGCUAAACACAAAACAUUAUGUUUAGCUAAAUGUGAAAGUUGCUGCCUUCAUUGACCUAGGACUUGAGUGAAAUGGAGCUGACCACAAAACAUUACAGUUUAGCUAAAUAUGAAAGUUGCUGCCUUCAUUGGAAAAGGUGAGACUAAAAGGUGUUACCAAGUACGUAGAUGCUGAACUGGUUUGUCACUUGUACAACAUUAUCUUGAUCAACCAAGGUCAAAUAUUACAAAAUACAUUAACAGUUUAGAUCAUAUACUGUAACAUGAAACCUCUUCACUGGUUUAUUUCAAACAGAUUCUAGUAACCUGUUGAUUUUAUGAAGUGUAUGAAUGAACAUUUAUCAGCAAGAAUGCCAAAUGUUUUGUUUAAUGACACCACUUAGAGCACAUUAGUUUAUUAAUCAUCUAUUGGAUGUCAAACCAGUGUGUUCUCGUUUAUUUCCUCCCUUUUUUUUUUUGUCAAAGGAGAUUGUCUGCAUUUUUAUUGGCUUAUUUUCUCACAGUUGAGUGUGUAAUUGUAUUUGAGCGACUUUUAUACAAAUUUUCAAAUUGAGCUUCUCCUGCAAUAAAACACUGGUUUAUAAUGGUGUAUCGUCUAUUUUCCCAUUCAGGUCUAUAUUAUAAGUGUAUAGCUCUCCAUCUAUUGUCUAACAAGAUAGGUCUCCACCAGUCCUUAGGUUUAAAAAAAAAAAGGGGGUAGGCAGGGCUGAAUCAUUGUAACAGCCUUCAAGAUUAAUAAUAUAAUGUACUGUGUAUCAUAUAGGUGUUAAUGAAGUACAUAUAGGUGAGGUUGGAAUGGCUAUGAGAGGUAAAGGAGGAGGCCAUUCAUUAAAAUAAAGCAGCUGUUAAAUAGUAUGUUAUGUUAUAAUUUAAUACAUCUUGUUAAAAUCUUAUAGAUUGUGGACAUUUGUCUUCAGGAAAAACUUUGAAAUGAUGACUCUAGCUGCUGUCGGAAUGCAUCUCAGGUCACUUGUUGUUUUAAUAAAGCCUAUGUCUUUA
RNAcentral lists this unclassified non-coding RNA (1552 nucleotides) under Gigantopelta aegis. RNAcentral's name for it is "iQ domain-containing protein C-like, transcript variant X1". Lineage: Eukaryota; Metazoa; Mollusca; Gastropoda; Neomphalida; Peltospiridae. The record is from RNAcentral.